This 219-nucleotide ribosomal RNA is filed under the name uncultured bacterium. RNAcentral describes it as "partial 16S ribosomal RNA". The stretch from base 1 to 186 matches the Rfam family "Bacterial small subunit ribosomal RNA", at positions 338 to 537 of the family's 1533-position model. The record is from RNAcentral.
CCUACGGGAGGCAGCAGUGGGGAAUUUUGGACAAUGGGCGAAAGCCUGACGCAGCCAUGCCGCGUGAAUGAUGAAGGUCUUAGGAUUGUAAAAUUCUUUCACCGGGGACGAUAAUGAUAGUACCCGGAGAAGAAGCCCCGGCUAACUUCGUGCCAGCAGCCGCGGUAAUAGUCCUACGGGAGGCAGCAGGUAGUAUGGCAGCCCAGCAGCCGCGGUAAU